GGCGGACGGGUGAGUAAUGCCUAGGAAUCUGCCUGGUAGUGGGGGACAACGUCUCGAAAGGGACGCUAAUACCGCAUACGUCCUACGGGAGAAAGCAGGGGACCUUCGGGCCUUGCGCUAUCAGAUGAGCCUAGGUCGGAUUAGCUAGUUGGUGAGGUAAUGGCUCACCAAGGCGACGAUCCGUAACUGGUCUGAGAGGAUGAUCAGUCACACUGGAACUGAGACACGGUCCAGACCCAUACGGGAGGCAGCAGUGGGGAAUAUUGGACAAUGGGCGAAAGCCUGAUCCAGCCAUGCCGCGUGUGUGAAGAAGGUCUUCGGAUUGUAAAGCACUUUAAGUUGGGAGGAAGGGCAGUAAAUUAAUACUUUGCUGUUUUGACGUUACCGACAGAAUAAGCACCGGCUAACUCUGUGCCAGCAGCCGCGGUAAUACAGAGGGUGCAAGCGUUAAUCGGAAUUACUGGGCGUAAAGCGCGCGUAGGUGGUUUGUUAAGUUGGAUGUGAAAUCCCCGGGCUCAACCUGGGAACUGCAUUCAAAACUGACAAGCUAGAGUAUGGUAGAGGGUGGUGGAAUUUCCUGUGUAGCGGUGAAAUGCGUAGAUAUAGGAAGGAACACCAGUGGCGAAGGCGACCACCUGGACUGAUACUGACACUGAGGUGCGAAAGCGUGGGGAGCAAACAGGAUUAGAUACC
This 693-nucleotide ribosomal RNA is filed under the name Pseudomonas umsongensis. Its description in RNAcentral is "bacterial SSU rRNA". It matches the Rfam family "Bacterial small subunit ribosomal RNA", at positions 97 to 786 of the family's 1533-position model. Lineage: Bacteria; Pseudomonadati; Pseudomonadota; Gammaproteobacteria; Pseudomonadales; Pseudomonadaceae. The record is from RNAcentral.